Molecule: ribosomal RNA, 422 nt
Filed under: uncultured bacterium
Lineage: Bacteria
Description: bacterial SSU rRNA
Rfam family: Bacterial small subunit ribosomal RNA
Source: RNAcentral
UGAGGAAUAUUGGGCAAUGCCCGCAAGGGUGACCCAGCAACGCCGCGUGGAGGAUGAAUGUCGUAAGAUUGUAAACUCCUGUUAGAGGGGAAGAAUAGUACCGGUUGGACCGGUAUGUGACUGUACCCUCAGAGAAAGCCCCGGCUAACUACGUGCCAGCAGCCGCGGUAAUACGUAGGGGGCAAGCGUUGUCCGGAUUUACUGGGUGUAAAGGGCGCGCAGGCGGGAUAAAAAGUCAGUGGUGAAAUCCUACAGCUUAACUGUAGAACGUCCUUUGAUACUUUUAUUCUUGAGUUCGGGAGAGAGAGACGGAAUUCCAGGUGUAGUGGUGAAAUACGUAGAUAUCUGGAAGAACACCAGUUGCGAAGGCGGUCUCUUGGUCCGACACUGACGCUGAGGCGCGAAAGCGUGGGGAGCAAACA